Molecule: small RNA, 487 nt
Filed under: Histoplasma ohiense
Lineage: Eukaryota; Fungi; Ascomycota; Eurotiomycetes; Onygenales; Ajellomycetaceae
Description: hypothetical lncRNA
Source: RNAcentral
UUUCGAUGAUAGGGCAGCUUGGAAAAUACAGCUUCCAGACCAUUGACUGAAGAAUGUGUCACGAGCCCCGAUAUAUCAAGAAGAACUAGAACGAAACAAAGAUUUUAAAACCAGGUAAGGUGACAUUGUCCUAUGUUCAAACUUUGACAUUGAACUACAACAGUGUGUGCCCAUCGGGGUAUACAUAUGUGAUAGCUCUCAAGGUCUUCUUAAAAAGGCCAAUUCCAACAUCGGAAUCCUGAGACAUGUUGAUUAGAUGUUACUGACAAUGAGCUUUAUUGCAAGCAACCUGGAUUUUGGGCAUUUGUGAAAACAUUUUAGCCAUGUCUGAUUGAAUCUCUUUGACUGACAUGGUUUUUUCUUAUAUUUACCAGUCCCUUGUGAACUUUAAUCUUAACCCCUUGUACUAGCCCAUCUAGCUAGGCCCUAUGUAUUGAUGAAGCAGCAUUAGUACUAUAUUUUCAGAUGGGAAACAUGGUCACAGGCC